AUUUUUGUUAUGUUGUCGGUACGAUAUUUUGUUUAUUUCUAGCUGUAGUUCACCGUUGAUAUAGUUACAAUAUAGUACUUGUUUUGUUAACAGGAUAAUGUAUUCAGUUUCAGUGAUAACAAAUGAAUUAUCCAGCUUGAAUGAAUUAGAAAAAUAUAUUAACAAUGGAAAAAAUAUAACACUUGAUAUUGCCCGAAAUCUGUUGCAUACAGAUAGAAAAGAAUCAUCUGAAGAUAUGCUGAAACAAUUAAGUGAAUACAUGUUGGAAUUUUUAUCUUUAGAACGUGAAAUAUCACAAUUUCAAGAUGCUGCAAGUAUAGUCAAACAAAAGAUUUCUUAAUACCAUCAACUCCCAUUGGUCUUUUCUGAGAAGCUUUAGCUGCAUUGAAC
This 390-nucleotide long non-coding RNA is filed under the name Androctonus crassicauda. The record is from RNAcentral. Lineage: Eukaryota; Metazoa; Arthropoda; Arachnida; Scorpiones; Buthidae.